Molecule: long non-coding RNA, 320 nt
Filed under: Penaeus japonicus
Lineage: Eukaryota; Metazoa; Arthropoda; Malacostraca; Decapoda; Penaeidae
Description: uncharacterized LOC122261873
Source: RNAcentral
GGUGAGGAUGGAUGAUGGUGCUAGCUGGUGAGGAGUACAACGUCGUUACCUGCCAUCUUCACACGCUGGUGCAUGAGUGAUUUAGAGGAUGGGCCAGAAUAUGUGUUGCCCCAAGAAGGGGCCGCCACCCCCAAAUCACCCUGGACCGUUUGACCCCAUAGAUCCAGUCGAAAUAAUUGAGGUGACGGAUAUAUUACCUACCAAUGGCGUUCGACCUGAACAUACUUAUUCCAGAACCCAGAACCCAGCAACAAGCUAUCAUGAUGAAGGUUGUUCAUGGUCAUCCAAGUCUUUGCUGCGUUUAAGCUUUUUUUAUUGCU